Molecule: ribosomal RNA, 472 nt
Filed under: uncultured bacterium
Lineage: Bacteria
Description: partial 16S ribosomal RNA
Rfam family: Bacterial small subunit ribosomal RNA
Source: RNAcentral
AACGAACGCUGGCGGCGUGCUUAACACAUGCAAGUCGAACGCUGAAGCUUGGUGCUUUCACUGAGUGGAUGAUUGGCGAACGGGUGAGUACUACGUGAGUGACCUGCCCUUGACUCUGGGGUACGCCUGGGGGACAAGGUCUAAUACUCGAUACGUCAUGUCACCGCAUUGGGGUAUGUGUAAAGGGUUUUGCUGGUUUUGGAUGGGCUUACGGCCUCUCAGCUUGUUGGUGGGGUAAUGGCGCAGCAAGGCCACGACGGGUAGCCGGCCUGAGCGGGUGACCGGCCACACUGCGACUGAGACACGGCCCAGACUCCUACGGGAGGCAGCAGUGGGGAAUAUUGCACAAUGGGCGGAAGCCUGAUGCAGCGACGCCGCGUGAGGGAUGACGGCCUUCGGGUUGUAAACCUCUUUCAGCACGGAAGAAGCGAAAGUGACGGUACGUGCAGAAGAAGCGCCGGCUAACUACGUG